This 274-nucleotide ribosomal RNA is filed under the name uncultured bacterium. Its description in RNAcentral is "partial 16S ribosomal RNA". It matches the Rfam family "Bacterial small subunit ribosomal RNA", at positions 523 to 796 of the family's 1533-position model. The record is from RNAcentral.
AUACGGAGGGUGCAAGCGUUGUCCGGAUUUAUUGGGUUUAAAGGGUGCGUAGGCGGAUCUUUAAGUCAGUGGUGAAAUCCUGCAGCUUAACUGUAGAACUGCCAUUGAUACUGGAGAUCUUGAGUACACUAGAAGUAGGCGGAAUUUAUGGUGUAGCGGUGAAAUGCAUAGAUACCAUAAAGAACACCGAUAGCGUAGGCAGCUUACUGGAGUGUAACUGACGCUGAGGCACGAAAGCAUGGGGAGCGAACAGGAUUAGAAACCCCGGUAGUCC